GAUGAACGCUAGCGAUAGGCUUAACACAUGCAAGUCGAGGGGCAGCAUGAUCUUAGCUUGCUAAGGUCGAUGGCGACCGGCGCACGGGUGCGUAACGCGUAUGCAACUUGCCUUACAGAGGGGGAUAACCCGUUGAAAGACGGACUAAAACCGCAUACACUUGUAUUAUUGCAUGAUAUUACAAGGAAAUAUUUAUAGCUGUAAGAUAGGCAUGCGUCCCAUUAGCUAGUUGGUGAGGUAACGGCUCACCAAGGCAACGAUGGGUAGGGGAACUGAGAGGUUUAUCCCCCACACUGGUACUGAGACACGGACCAGACUCCUACGGGAGGCAGCAGUGAGGAAUAUUGGUCAAUGGGCGAGAGCCUGAACCAGCCAAGUCGCGUGAAGGAAGACAGUCCUAAGGAUUGUAAACUUCUUUUAUACGGGAAUAACGGGCGAUACGAGUAUUGCAUUGAAUGUACCGUAAGAAUAAGCAUCGGCUAACUCCGUGCCAGCAGCCGCGGUAAUACGGAGGAUGCGAGCGUUAUCCGGAUUUAUUGGGUUUAAAGGGUGCGUAGGUUGUUCGGUAAGUCAGCGGUGAAACCUGAGCGCUCAACGUUCAGCCUGCCGUUGAAACUGCCGGGCUUGAGUUCAGUGGCGGCAGGCGGAAUUCGUGGUGUAGCGGUGAAAUGCAUAGAUAUCACGAGGAACUCCGAUUGCGAAGGCAGCUUGCCAUACUGCGACUGACACUGAAGCACGAAGGCGUGGGUAUCAAACAGGAUUAGAUACCCUGGUAGUCCACGCAGUAAACGAUGAUUACUAGGAGUUUGCGAUAUACCGUCAAGCUUCCACAGCGAAAGCGUUAAGUAAUCCACCUGGGGAGUACGCCGGCAACGGUGAAACUCAAAGGAAUUGACGGGGGCCCGCACAAGCGGAGGAACAUGUGGUUUAAUUCGAUGAUACGCGAGGAACCUUACCCGGGAUUGAAAUGUAGAUGACGGAUGGUGAAAACCG
RNAcentral lists this ribosomal RNA (993 nucleotides) under Porphyromonas gingivalis. RNAcentral describes it as "bacterial SSU rRNA". It matches the Rfam family "Bacterial small subunit ribosomal RNA", at positions 28 to 1010 of the family's 1533-position model. Lineage: Bacteria; Pseudomonadati; Bacteroidota; Bacteroidia; Bacteroidales; Porphyromonadaceae. The record is from RNAcentral.